AUGAGCAAUUCACUUUGUCCUCGCUACCGUGGCCUGUCGACUUAUGAAAAGGAGUACCUUGCCAUUGUGGUGGUUGUAGAGCAGUGGCGUCCUUACUUACAACAUGCAGAAUUUGUGAUUCAUACUGACCAAAAGAGUUUGGCACCUGGAAGAGCAGCGGCUGUCCACACCUUGGCAGCAAAAAUCUUUCAUAAAACUUCUGGGCCUCCAAUAUCGCAUCCAUUACAAGAAAGGCACUCAUAA
Molecule: ribosomal RNA, 243 nt
Filed under: Triticum aestivum (bread wheat)
Lineage: Eukaryota; Viridiplantae; Streptophyta; Magnoliopsida; Poales; Poaceae
Description: partial small subunit ribosomal RNA
Source: RNAcentral